GAUGAAGAACGCAGCGAAAUGCGAUAAGUAAUGUGAAUUGCAGAAUUCAGUGAAUCAUCGAAUCUUUGAACGCACAUUGCGCCCCCUGGUAUUCCGGGGGGCAUGCCUGUCCGAGCGUCAUUACAACCCUCAAGCUCAGCUUGGUGUUGGGCCCCGCCGCCCCGGCGGGCCCUAAAGUCAGUGGCGGUGCCGUCCGGCUCCGAGCGUAGUAAUUCUUCUCGCUCUGGAGGUCCGGUCGUGUGCUCGCCAGCAACCCCCAAUUUUUUUCAGGUUGACCUCGGAUCAGGUAGGGAUACCCGCUGAACUUAAGCAUACCAAUAAGCGGAGGA
This 329-nucleotide unclassified non-coding RNA is filed under the name soil metagenome. RNAcentral's name for it is "partial contains 5.8S ribosomal RNA, internal transcribed spacer 2, and large subunit ribosomal RNA". The stretch from base 1 to 120 matches the Rfam family "5.8S ribosomal RNA", at positions 35 to 154 of the family's 154-position model. The record is from RNAcentral.